Helianthus annuus (common sunflower) is the source of this 102-nucleotide non-coding RNA. Lineage: Eukaryota; Viridiplantae; Streptophyta; Magnoliopsida; Asterales; Asteraceae. The record is from Rfam.
GUUUGUCUGGGAACAUCCGAUAAAAUUGGAACGAUACGAAAAAGAUUAACAUGGCCCCGCAUAAGAUGACACGUACAAAAGUGGUAAGAGUUUAAACUUUAU